GACGAACCGUACGAACGUUAUUCGGAAUUACUGGGCUUAAAGGGUGCGUAGGCUGCGCGGAAAGUUGGGUGUGAAAUCCCUCGGCUCAACCGAGGAACUGCGCCCAAAACUACCGUGCUCGAGGGAGACAGAGGUGAGCGGAACUUAGGGUGGAGCGGUGAAAUGCGUUGAUAUCCUAAGGAACACCCGUGGCGAAAGUGGCUCACUGGGUCUCUUCUGACGCUGAGGCACGAAAGCUAGGGUAGCGAACGGG
Molecule: ribosomal RNA, 253 nt
Filed under: uncultured bacterium
Lineage: Bacteria
Description: partial 16S ribosomal RNA
Rfam family: Bacterial small subunit ribosomal RNA
Source: RNAcentral